This 576-nucleotide ribosomal RNA is filed under the name uncultured bacterium. Its description in RNAcentral is "bacterial SSU rRNA". It matches the Rfam family "Bacterial small subunit ribosomal RNA", at positions 922 to 1502 of the family's 1533-position model. The record is from RNAcentral.
CGCACAAGCGGUGGAUGAUGUGGAUUAAUUCGAUGCAACGCGAAAAACCUUACCUACCCUUGACAUGUCUGGAAUGCCGAAGAGAUUUGGCAGUGCUCGCAAGAGAACCGGAACACAGGUGCUGCAUGGCUGUCGUCAGCUCGUGUCGUGAGAUGUUGGGUUAAGUCCCGCAACGAGCGCAACCCUUGUCAUUAGUUGCUACGCAAGAGCACUCUAAUGAGACUGCCGGUGACAAACCGGAGGAAGGUGGGGAUGACGUCAAGUCCUCAUGGCCCUUAUGGGUAGGGCUUCACACGUCAUACAAUGGUCGGGACAGAGGGUCGCCAACCCGCGAGGGGGAGCCAAUCUCAGAAACCCGAUCGUAGUCCGGAUCGCAGUCUGCAACUCGACUGCGUGAAGUCGGAAUCGCUAGUAAUCGCGGAUCAGAAUGUCGCGGUGAAUACGUUCCCGGGUCUUGUACACACCGCCCGUCACACCAUGGGAGUGGGUUUCACCAGAAGUAGGUAGCCUAACCGCAAGGAGGGCGCUUACCACGGUGGGAUUCAUGACUGGGGUGAAGUCGUAACAAGGUAACCG